Long non-coding RNA from Hemicordylus capensis (graceful crag lizard), 503 nucleotides. RefSeq lists it as uncharacterized. The transcript is spliced from 3 exons. The record is from RefSeq and is a predicted model, not a curated record. Lineage: Eukaryota; Metazoa; Chordata; Lepidosauria; Squamata; Cordylidae.
UGCGGCAGGCCUGGCUGUAGAGGCCAGAAGCAGCUAUGGGCCGGGCCCAGCCCAGCCCAGCCGCAGAGGUGGGCGGGGGCAGACGUGGCAGUGGAGAGGAGAAGCGGCUGGGCCUGGAAGUGGAAACUGAGGCAGAAGGUUGGGGGAAGAGGAGAAAAGUGCUUUAUCUAUUUAACACUACAGACAGCAAAUGAAAAUGUUUCUAUACAGUUCCAAGACAUUUCCCUCCUUAAUAAAAGAUGAUGGUGAAGAUUAGAACUGAUAUUUUGAAAAGGGAUGUAGGUUUUCUAUGCAAGUAUUUUAAAUAGCGCUUCCAAGAGCCAUUCAUCUGGAUUGCCUUCAAGCCUUUCAAAAGCAGCAAUUCCCCAACAGUAGUUCUGGUCCUACUAUCAGAUUACAGUAAUCUUGUGGGUAGGUCACCAUACCAGUAGUACUGAACACUUGCUUAUGCUAUUUCACAUCCAUUAUUUUAGAGAGUACACUUUAUGAUCCAUACCUGCAAU